AAAAAAGUAGCGAAGUCCGUGAGCCAUGCGUCAAGAAAAGCCGCUAUUGUUUGUACCGUACCCGUACCGUAAACCGACACAGGUGGAUGAGGAGAGAAUCCUAAGGCCGGCGGAAGAAGCAUUGUCAAGGAACUCGGCAAAAUGGCCCCGUAACUUAGGGAUAAGGGGUGCCUGGGAAACCAGGCCGCAGAGAAUAGGCUCAAGCAACUGUUUAGCAAAAACACAGGUCUAUGCGAAACCGAAAGGUGAGGUAUAUGGGCUGACGCCUGCCCGGUGCUGGAAGGUUAAGAGGAGAGGUUAGCGGUAACGCGAAGCUUUGAAUUUAAGCCCCAGUAAACGGCGGCCGUAACGAUAACGGUCCUAAGGUAGCAAAAUUCCUUGUCGGGUAAGUUCCGACCCGCACGAAAGGCGUAAUGAUUUGAGCGCUGUCUCGACAAUGCAUCCGGUGAAAUUGAAGUACCAGUGAAGAUGCUGGUUACCUGCGCCAGGACGGAAAGACCCCAUGGAGCUUUACUCCAGUCUGGUACUGGGACUCGGUAUUGCAUGUACAGGAUAGGUGGGAGGCUAGGAGAUGGUAACGCCAGUUGCCAUGGAGCCGCUGUUGGGAUACCACCCUUGCAGUAUUGGGUUUCUAACCAGCCGCCGUGACCCGGCGGUGGGACAAUGCCAGACGGGGAGUUUGACUGGGGCGGUCGCCUCCGAAAGGGUAUCGGAGGCGCCCAAAGGUUCCCUCAGAAUGGACGGAAACCAUUCGAAGAGUGCAAAGGCAGAAGGGAGCUUGACUGCGACACCGACGGGUGGAGCAGGUACGAAAGUAGGGCUUAGUGAUCCGGUGGUAUUAAGUGGGAAUGCCAUCGCUCAACGGAUAAAAGCUACCCUGGGAUAACAGGCUUAUCACUCCCAAGAGUUCACAUCGACGGAGUGGUUUGGCACCUCGAUGUCGGCUCAUCGCAUCCUGGGGCUGUAGUAGGUCCCAAGGGUUGGGCUGUUCGCCCAUUAAAGCGGUACGCGAGCUGGGUUCAGAACGUCGUGAGACAGUUCGGUCCCUAUCCGGCGUGGGCGUAGGAUAUCUGAGAGGAGCUGUCCUUAGUACGAGAGGACCGGGAUGGACGGGCCGCUGGUGCAUCGGUUAGACUGCCAAGUCUACGGCCGAGUAGCCAAGCCCGGAAGGGAUAAACGCUGAAGGCAUCUAAGCGUGAAGCCCCCCUUAAGAUGAGAUAUCCCAUUCGAAAGAAGUAAACCCCCUUGAAGACGACGAGGUAGAUAGGGCAGAGGUGGAAGUGCAGUAAUGCAUGGAGCUGACUGUUACUAAUCGGGUGAGGGCUUGACC
RNAcentral lists this ribosomal RNA (1330 nucleotides) under metagenome. Its description in RNAcentral is "bacterial LSU rRNA". It matches the Rfam family "Bacterial large subunit ribosomal RNA", at positions 1576 to 2925 of the family's 2925-position model. The record is from RNAcentral.